This 253-nucleotide ribosomal RNA is filed under the name uncultured bacterium. RNAcentral describes it as "partial 16S ribosomal RNA". It matches the Rfam family "Bacterial small subunit ribosomal RNA", at positions 524 to 776 of the family's 1533-position model. The record is from RNAcentral.
UACAGAGGAGCCAAGCGUUGUCCGGAUUGACUGGGCGUAAAGCGCACGCAGGCGGAUGCGCGCGUGGGGUGUGAAAUCUGGCCGCUUAACGGCCAGGCGCCAUCCCAUACGGCGCGUCUGGAGUGAUGCAGAGGUCGGUGGAAUUGCCGGUGUAGUGGUGAAAUGCGUAGAUAUCAGUCGGAACACCGGUGGCGAGGGCGGCUUCUUGGGCCGUUCCUGACGCUGAGGCGCGAAAGCCAGGGGAGCGAACGGG